UACGAAGGAUGCAAGCGUUAUCCGGAUUCACUGGGUUUAAAGGGUGCGUAGGAGGGCAGGUAAGUCAGUGGUGAAAUCCCCGAGCUUAACUUGGGAACUGCCGUUGAUACUAUCUGUCUUGAAUAUCGUGGAGGUGAGCGGAAUAUGUCAUGUAGCGGUGAAAUGCUUAGAUAUGACAUAGAACACCCAUUGCGAAGGCAGCUUGCUACACUAUUAUUGAUGCUGAGGCACGAAAGCGUGGGGAUCAAACAGG
RNAcentral lists this ribosomal RNA (253 nucleotides) under uncultured prokaryote. RNAcentral describes it as "partial 16S ribosomal RNA". It matches the Rfam family "Bacterial small subunit ribosomal RNA", at positions 524 to 776 of the family's 1533-position model. The record is from RNAcentral.